Hemicordylus capensis (graceful crag lizard) is the source of this 140-nucleotide small nucleolar RNA. RefSeq annotates it as small nucleolar RNA SNORA64/SNORA10 family. The record is from RefSeq and is a predicted model, not a curated record. NCBI's taxonomy places the organism in Eukaryota, Metazoa, Chordata, Lepidosauria, Squamata, Cordylidae. The transcript has a single exon.
ACUCUCUCCGCUCUGCUCAGCUGCACCUGACCCAGUGGUGCAGCUGUCGUUUUUCGAGAGGGAAAGCAAAUGGGUCCAUGUGUGCACGGCAGCGAGACCCUCUGAGAUGGUCUCCCUGUUCCUUUUCGGACUUGACACAA